RNAcentral lists this transfer RNA (66 nucleotides) under Raptrix fusca. RNAcentral's name for it is "tRNA-Asn". Lineage: Eukaryota; Metazoa; Arthropoda; Insecta; Mantodea; Acanthopidae. The record is from RNAcentral.
UUAGUUGAAACCAAAAUAGAGGUUUAUCACUGUUAAUGAUAAUAUUGAAUAACAUUUCCAAUUAAG